CAUCUUUAAAGGAUGACUAGUAUGUUAGGAACAUAAAUUUCUUGGGGGUCUUUAAGAUAAAUUCAGUCACAACUUGGAACGAACUUGUAGUGCUUUUGAAAU
Long non-coding RNA from Haliotis rubra (blacklip abalone), 102 nucleotides. RefSeq lists it as uncharacterized. The record is from RefSeq and is a predicted model, not a curated record. The transcript has 3 exons. NCBI's taxonomy places the organism in Eukaryota, Metazoa, Mollusca, Gastropoda, Lepetellida, Haliotidae.